Long non-coding RNA from Corvus hawaiiensis (hawaiian crow), 954 nucleotides. RefSeq lists it as uncharacterized. The transcript is spliced from 4 exons. The record is from RefSeq and is a predicted model, not a curated record. NCBI's taxonomy places the organism in Eukaryota, Metazoa, Chordata, Aves, Passeriformes, Corvidae.
CUUAGCUCAGAGUCACGUUUCCCUCUGAGUUCUUACGUGAUCUUAAUGAAUGAGAGGGGUUACCAACCAACUCAGUAUAAAACGUGAUCGCAGCCUCCUCCCAGGAAACCGGAGCGGGACAGUAAGUUCCCGAGGAAAGUCCUGGCCGGACGGGCGCACUGUGCAGUGAGCCCUGAUUCCCACCGCCCUCCUUCCACCUCCCGGCUCGCACCUGGGGCCGUGCAAGACGAGCCGGCUCUGGAGAUUUACGUUCGGGACAGGUGUAGAAGGAUGGAGCUUGCAGCCUUUGACAAGGAAGACAAACAGAACAGAAUCUACAACAGGAGCAGGAAACACUUAUGCAAACUCUCAAGAAACAUCUUUCUGUCAAAACUGAAACAGAUUGUGGUGUUCUGCAGCACAUUUCUCUGCUAGGGAAACAUUCUUGGUACAGUAUUUUUGCUCUUUGUAUGAUGUUUUUUCCAAGGAUUUUCUGAUAAAACAUGGUGAUGAGGGGUGAUAGCAGUCAUGUUAUGGUUGCUACUAACACACACAAGUCUUACCAGAGGUGAAGUAGAUGUAAUUUGCUUUUAUUUAAAAGCUUUUGCUCAGUAAUACUUUCAUGUCUUGAUCUAGCACUUGUAGUCAAGCAACAUUCCCAGUCUCAUCAGCCCUUAAGAUCCUGGUCUGAUUUUAUAUGAAAAAAAAGGGGCAGAUCUUUGGCUUGAUGGUUUUCUGAGAUCUCUGCAACAGUUUGGAGAGCAACAUAUUCCUCUACCUCGUGGUUUUGAACAGAAAAAGGAGAAGAUACUGUAUUUUUCAUACAUCUGGACUUGAAUUCUGCAAUAUAUGUACUAGUGAAUCUGGAUGCUGUCAUAUGAGCCAAGAUACUAAGCAACCAUAAUUUCUAACUCAUUCAGCAAAAUAAGUAAGCUUUUCAUAUUGAAAUAAUUAUCAUAUUUUAGAAGGAUAAAA